UACGAAGGGGGCUAGCGUUGCUCGGAAUCACUGGGCGUAAAGGGUACGUAGGCGGACCGUUAAGUCGGGGGUGAAAUCCUGGAGCUCAACUCCAGAACUGCCUUUGAUACUGAGGAUCUUGAGUUCGGGAGAGGUGAGUGGAACUGCGAGUGUAGAGGUGAAAUUCGUAGAUAUUCGCAAGAACACCAGUGGCGAAGGCGGCUCACUGGCCCGAUACUGACGCUGAGGCACGAAAGCGUGGGGAGCAAACAGGG
This 254-nucleotide ribosomal RNA is filed under the name uncultured bacterium. RNAcentral describes it as "partial 16S ribosomal RNA". It matches the Rfam family "Bacterial small subunit ribosomal RNA", at positions 524 to 777 of the family's 1533-position model. The record is from RNAcentral.